This 253-nucleotide ribosomal RNA is filed under the name uncultured bacterium. Its description in RNAcentral is "partial 16S ribosomal RNA". It matches the Rfam family "Bacterial small subunit ribosomal RNA", at positions 524 to 776 of the family's 1533-position model. The record is from RNAcentral.
UACGGGGGGGGCAAGCGUUGUUCGGAAUUACUGGGCGUAAAGGGCUCGUAGGUGGCCAACUAAGUCAGACGUGAAAUCCCCAGGCUCAACUUGGGAACUGCGUCUGAUACUGGAUGGCUUGAAUUCGGGAGAGGGAUGCAGAAUUCCAGGUGUAGCGGCGAAAUGCGUAGAUAUCUGGAGGAAUACCGGUGGCGAAGGCGGCAUCCUGGACCGAGAUUGACACUGAUGAGCGAAAGCUAGGGGAGCAAACGGG